Molecule: unclassified non-coding RNA, 329 nt
Filed under: soil metagenome
Description: partial contains 5.8S ribosomal RNA, internal transcribed spacer 2, and large subunit ribosomal RNA
Rfam family: 5.8S ribosomal RNA (bases 1-120)
Source: RNAcentral
GAUGAAGAACGCAGCGAAAUGCGAUAAGUAAUGUGAAUUGCAGAAUUCAGUGAAUCAUCGAAUCUUUGAACGCACAUUGCGCCCCUUGGUAUUCCGUGGGGCAUGCCUGUUCGAGCGUCAUUAUAACCCCUCAAGCUCAGCUUGGUGUUGGGGCCUGCUGCACUGGCAGCCCUUAAAAUCAGUGGCGGCGCCAUCUGGCUCUAAGCGUAGUAAUUCUUCUCGCUAUGGAGUCCUGGUGGAUGCUUGCCAUCAACCCCCAAUUUUUCUAUGGUUGACCUCGGAUCAGGUAGGGAUACCCGCUGAACUUAAGCAUAUCAAUAAGCGGAGGA